Castor canadensis (American beaver) is the source of this 2168-nucleotide long non-coding RNA. The record is from Ensembl. NCBI's taxonomy places the organism in Eukaryota, Metazoa, Chordata, Mammalia, Rodentia, Castoridae.
CCCCGUGCGGUCAGUGGCGUUUCCGCUCGGGCAGCGGGCUGAGUGAGCUGCCGCCGCUGCUGCCGCCGCCGCCGCCGGGGGAGGGGCGGCCGCCGCCCGCCUGCGCUCAGAGACUCACGCAGCCCCAGUCCCGCCAGUCCGCCAACACAGUAGUGCCGGCCCCCUCCUUCCUUGGCCCUUCCCCCUCCCUGCCUUUGGCUCGCUCCGCCUUUCUGUCCCCCACCCCCACCUCACGGGUACGGGCCAUUCCCGGCCAGGAAACGCCGUGGCGCCGCGUUGGGCCUAACUCGAGUCUUGCUGCCUCCCGGGAGUGCCGUGCGCCGCAGCCCGGGCCCAGGCCCCGGCAGCGCCUGGGACAAGGAUCAUCAGCCUGCAUCGAAAAAUUCUGUUUCCUACCACCAAGCUUUGUGCAUGUCACAGCACAUAUAAUUUGUACUUUUCAUAGCUUCUGUGAAGGAAGUUGAUCUGCAGUUAAUAAUCAACCAUUUGGCCUUCGUAGUAUCCAAUGAGGGUUUUACUUACAAAGAAGAACCUGGAAGGACCUGUUGGCAAUUAGAGUGCCUCUGUAUUGGUAUUACGUUUUCUUUUAUUGUGGGUUGUUGAGAGUUGACUUGUUCUAUGAGAAACUAGCUAGAAAGGGAAAAUCCACAGGGGGGAAAAAAGGCCACUUAAAAAAUAUAUGUUUAUUAUAACAUUUGUGAUAGAAUCAAAAUGUCACUUUUUAUUUAAAUUUUUUUGUGGUUCUGGGAAUUGAACCCAGGGCCUUGCUCAUGCUAUGCAUGCCAUCCACCACUGAGCUGUACCAUUUUACAAAUUUUAUUUACUACAAUUUUAUUUGUUUUAUUUUAUUUACUACAAAUUUUAUUUGUAGUAAAUAGAAAUCGAAUGCAUAGCUUAAUAAUAGAACAAAAUAAGGGCAGGUUGAGGAUGUGAAGGCACAUUUUUAAGAUGAGACUAAAAGUUGUAGGGUCUACAUGCCAAAUUAUUAGGUAUUUUUAUAUUUCUGCUACUUUCAUGGAAAACCGUUAAAAAUAGCUGGGUACCAGUGGCUUAUGCCUAUAAUCCUCCAUACUUGAGAGCCUGAAGUGGGGAAGAUCACCCUUCUAGGCCAGCCUGGGCAAAAGACCUUCAUCUCAAUAGAAAACAAAACAAAACUGGGUGAGGUGGCGUGCUCACUCAGGGACAUCUCAGUGACAGUAGGAAGCUUAAAGUAGGAGGAUCAUGGUCCUGGCCAACCUGGGCCAAAAGGGAGACCCUUUCUUCAAAAUUGCCAGAGCAAAAAGGGCUAGAGGCAUGACUCAGGCAGUAGAGCCCCUUCCUAGCAAAUGGGAAGCCCUGAGUUCAAACCCCAUACCUCCAAAAACAAAAACCCUUUAAAAACAAAGUGGCUCAAAAUAUACCCAGGUUAAAUGGAUAGGGUGGCACAGUAUAUAUGUUAUAUUAAUAAUAGCUGAUAUUUACUAAAUUUCAAAAAAAAUGAAAAUUACUGCUGAGAAGGAAUCUGGCUAGGCCACGCUGGGGUCCCCUGGGAAGGACAUGUAAUUUUAGAAAAGCAAGGCACUGGGUAGGUUAGCCUUCCUCGUAUAGUUUAUCAUGAACAGUUAGUAUGGAAAGGAAUGGCUGAAGGUUUGCAUAGUAUACACGGCAAGAAGAAGAGAAGAUAUAUUGCACUUAAAAAAGUGCAUGCCAGCCAAGAAAUGGAAAGUAAUUUCUUUGUAGUACACGUUAGUUUUUCUUAACUCUGUAAUACUAGUGAGUGUUUGUAUGGAAGAUAGUUGCCUGAAGGAUUGAGCUGAAUAUCUUUUAUGAAGUUUUUAAAAAAUGAAUCUUAUAUUGGACAGUCCUGGUAUAUGCCUACUAUGCUAGCAUAGUGAUAGCAACCCUUUCUUUCUCAAAAAGUGUCUCAUAUUGAACCAUAAGUUAUACAGGGAACUUUUAUUCCCUAUCUAUAAACCCGGUUUUUCUUCAUAGAUUUCUGAUUUAGGAGUCGCCUGUGUGUAUCUUGGCCUCUGUUUUAAUCUCCUAUUUCCAAAAGGGCAGGUUUUAGAGUGCCUUUUCCUUUUGGUUAAUAGUAUGAGAAAGGGUAAAUACAGAUUUGAUUGAUUUUGAUUUUUUUAUUAUGAAAAGGCCCAAAUAAAACAAUAGAAAAUGGACUCCCUUAGGAUAGU